GGAAAGCCUGCGCCAGCGCUGUAGCUCCAUCGUUCUCCAGUCUGUUCCUGCCAGCGAUGAACACCUUCAGCUGCAAGGGGGCACCAAGUGCACUCGACUCCUUAUGACACACCGUCAGAGCUGCCGCCAGGAUCUAGAGCAGCAGGACAUGAUGACAUCAGUAUCAUAAACCCCGCCCACCUUUCCUCCUCCGAUGCCCAUUCCACAGUUGUUCAGACGCAGUUCCUGCAGUGUGUGGCAGGCGGUGCUCUUGAGCAGCUUCUCAAUCCCUUUGACACCAUCAGGUCCGAAAGCGUUAUCACUCAGAUCCAGAACCUUCAGCCGAGCUCCAGCCAUGAUUAACGCAUCGCCCAGAGAAUUCUGUGGAGGCAACGUUUACAAGCAUUAAACAGACUGUUAUAGUCACGACUACUAACUACGAGCACACUGGGUUUGAUAAAGACUUUAUUAAAAGUCUUUGCUCUAAAAAUGUCGAAUUAAAUCAUGACGUGUCCAUCUUACCAACGCUGGAGGAAUCUCAGCUCGCAGGCGGCCCGUAAACAUGUCGCUCCAGUGGCAGCACUAACUCGAGAGAAAAUCAACAGUUAAAGGAGAAGGUUUUUAUUUGUUUCUAAAUUUUACAUCACUAUAUAAUAUCGUGUUUCACAUACAUUAUUAUUAGCAGAAUAUUAUCAUCUAAAUGUGGUUUCUUGAUCUUGGCAGCCAAUAAUUCAAUGCACAAAACACACUAUAGUGAUUUCCUAAGCAGAUAUGGUGAUGCGAAUACAUAAAAUAUCUAAUAAAUAAUGUCUUAAUUAUAGAAAAUGACAGAUACAUUUGUGGAAAAAUAUUGUAUUGUUUGUGUUGACACAAUGUCUGUGACAUCAACAACUGAAUACAUGUAAUUUGUCUUCUCAUGCCUUUUAAAAGUUAAUAAGCUGUUUCAUUUUUCUGUCAUUACGAUGCAUGACUUGGUGCAUUAAAUUACAUGAUUUAG
Long non-coding RNA from Carassius gibelio (silver crucian carp), 976 nucleotides. RefSeq lists it as uncharacterized. The transcript has 2 exons. The record is from RefSeq and is a predicted model, not a curated record. Lineage: Eukaryota; Metazoa; Chordata; Actinopteri; Cypriniformes; Cyprinidae.